AACGAACGCUGGCGGCGUGGAUAAGACAUGCAAGUCGAACGUGAUUAAGUUUGUAGCAAUACAGGCUUGGUCAAGUGGCAAACGGGUGCGUAACACGUGAGCAAUCUGCCGGGAAGUGGGGGACAGCUCGCCGAAAGGCGAAUUAAUACCGCAUAUGGCCAGGGAGGACAUCCUCCCGAAGCCAAAGUCGCAAGACGCUUCCUGAUGAGCUCGCGGCCUAUCAGCUUGUUGGUGAGGUAACGGCUCACCAAGGCUAUGACGGGUAGCUGGUCUGAGAGGACGACCAGCCACACUGGAACUGAGACACGGUCCAGACACCUACGGGUGGCUG
RNAcentral lists this ribosomal RNA (331 nucleotides) under uncultured Verrucomicrobiota bacterium. Its description in RNAcentral is "bacterial SSU rRNA". It matches the Rfam family "Bacterial small subunit ribosomal RNA", at positions 29 to 351 of the family's 1533-position model. Lineage: Bacteria; Pseudomonadati; Verrucomicrobiota. The record is from RNAcentral.